This 1328-nucleotide long non-coding RNA is filed under the name Pan troglodytes (chimpanzee). Its description in RNAcentral is "long non-coding RNA NONPTRT006911". Lineage: Eukaryota; Metazoa; Chordata; Mammalia; Primates; Hominidae. The record is from RNAcentral.
CUCUCUCUCUCUCCUACUGGCCAUAUGAAGAUGUGCCUGGCUUCCCCUUUGCCUUCCACCAUGAUUGUAAGUUUUCUGAGGGCUCCCCAGAAGCAGAAGCCUGUACAGCCUCCAGACUAGUGAGCAAACUUAAACCUUCUUUCUUUAUAAAUUACCCAGUCUCAGGUAUGUCUUUAUAGCUGUAUGAGAACAGACUAAUAUACAGCAAGAUAGUAAAUACUUUAGGCUUUUUGGUCCACAUGGUUUCUGUUGCAACUACUCAAUUCUGCUAUUGUAGCAGAAAGGCAGUCUUAGACAAUAUUAAACAAAUGAGUGUGAUGACAGUGUUUCAAUAAGUUUUAAUUCUGUACAUUGAUAUUUCAAUUGCAUAUACUUCUUACAUAUUAAUAAGUAUUGUUCUUCUUUUAAUUUAAGAAACCAUUGAAAACUGUAAAAACAUUCUUUGCUCACAAGAAAUCCAAAAACGGGAGGUGGGCUGGAUUUUGGCCGGUUAGCUGUGCUUUGCUGAUCCCCUGCUCAAAAUCAGUCACAUAGCUAUUUGGGUAGCCCUUAGCGCAGUAAGUGGCAAUCUCAGUGACUUUUAAUGAUUAUAAUAUUUUCAAAAUUCAGUUAAUUAGAUUUAAAUUUAACAAAAAAUAGCAUGGAAAAAAUAAGAAGCACUGGGAGAUUCAAGGAGGAGGUCAGGGAAUAAGGAAGCAGGAUCCAAGGACUAGAUGGCAUCUCAUAGCAAACAAACACCAACAGGGCAUUGCACUCUAAAAAGGAAUAGACUUAUUCACUAGACUUUGUGUAAAAUCUAUCAUUGUAAUCAAGUUGCUAGGGUAGGAAUUGAUUGAUUUCCAUUUCAGCAUAUUUGUCUUCAAAUGUGCAGAAAGUUCUCCUGGCUCCCUUCAGGAUUAACAUGGGGUUUGGAAUAAAGUGAUAGACACAUAGGAGCAGGCCACAAAGACUAGCUAUGCUCCUUGUGCUCCAGAAUUCGAGUUCUUGGUCACGCUUUUCUCCCAGGAUGUUUCAUCCUGCUGGCCCAUUCAUCAGACUGAACAGGUUUCAUUAUAGUGCAUUUACAAGCAGCUGUUUUGUACUUAAGUUCUAUAGGUUAUAAUUAAUUGUGAAGACAGUUUAUUGAACAAAGGAAGGGAUUCUUCUAAUAAAUUGGCAGAUGGAAGGGGACAUGCUAUAAAUCAGAGACCCUUAACUUUGUAUUUGUGAAGACAGGCAGUACUCUUUUAUGCUACAUGUGACUCCUAAUUAAGUGAUCUUUCCAGAACACCAAGAGUCAAGUGCAGUCAGACAGAUUGUGUGUGUGUGUGCUAUAGCCCUACCCUAUC